GCCUACGGGGGGCAGCAGUGGGGAAUAUUGGGCAAUGGGCGCAAGCCUGACCCAGCAACGCCGCGUGAAGGAAGAAGGCUUUCGGGUUGUAAACUUCUUUUAAGGGGGAAGAGAAGAAGACGGUACCUCUUGAAUAAGCCACGGCUAACUACGUGCCAGCAGCCGCGGUAAUACGUAGGUGGCAAGCGUUGUCCGGAUUUACUGGGUGUAAAGGGCGUGCAGCCGGGCUGAAAAGUGAGAGGUGAAAUCCGGCGGCUCAACCGCGGAACUGCAUUGGAAACGGUCAGUCUUG
Molecule: ribosomal RNA, 292 nt
Filed under: uncultured bacterium
Lineage: Bacteria
Description: partial 16S ribosomal RNA
Rfam family: Bacterial small subunit ribosomal RNA
Source: RNAcentral